UACGGAGGGGGCUAGCGUUGUUCGGAAUUACUGGGCGUAAAGCGCACGUAGGCGGCUGUUCAAGUCAGAGGUGAAAGCCCGGGGCUCAACCCCGGAAUAGCCUUUGAGACUGGAUAGCUUGAAUCUUGGAGAGGCGAGUGGAAUUCCGAGUGUAGAGGUGAAAUUCGUAGAUAUUCGGAAGAACACCAGUGGCGAAGGCGGCUCGCUGGACAAGUAUUGACGCUGAGGUGCGAAAGCGUGGGGAGCAAACAGG
RNAcentral lists this ribosomal RNA (253 nucleotides) under uncultured Sphingobium sp. Its description in RNAcentral is "partial 16S ribosomal RNA". It matches the Rfam family "Bacterial small subunit ribosomal RNA", at positions 524 to 776 of the family's 1533-position model. Lineage: Bacteria; Pseudomonadati; Pseudomonadota; Alphaproteobacteria; Sphingomonadales; Sphingobiaceae. The record is from RNAcentral.